This 540-nucleotide ribosomal RNA is filed under the name uncultured Geobacteraceae bacterium. RNAcentral's name for it is "bacterial SSU rRNA". It matches the Rfam family "Bacterial small subunit ribosomal RNA", at positions 9 to 526 of the family's 1533-position model. The record is from RNAcentral. Lineage: Bacteria; Pseudomonadati; Thermodesulfobacteriota; Desulfuromonadia; Geobacterales; Geobacteraceae.
GAGUUUGAUCCUGGCUCAGAACGAACGCUGGCGGCGUGCCUAACACAUGCAAGUCGAGCGUGAUCCAGAGCUUGCUCUGGUGAAAGUGGCGCACGGGUGAGUAACGCGUGGAUAACCUACCCUGGUAUCCGGGAUAACAUUCCGAAAGGGGUGCUAAUACCGGAUAAGCCCACGGGCUCUUUGGAGCUUGCGGGAAAAGGUGGCCUCUAUUUAUAAGCUACUGUAUCAGGAUGGGUCCGCGUACCAUUAGCUAGUUGGCGGUGUAACGGACCACCAAGGCGACGAUGGUUAGCUGGUCUGAGAGGAUGAUCAGCCACACUGGAACUGAGACACGGUCCAGACUCCUACGGGAGGCAGCAGUGGGGAAUUUUGCGCAAUGGGGGAAACCCUGACGCAGCAACGCCGCGUGAGUGAUGAAGGCCCUUGGGUCGUAAAGCUCUGUCAGAGGGGAAGAAAUGAUAUAGUGCUAAUACCACUUUAUCUUGACGGUACCCUCAAAGGAAGCACCGGCUAACUCCGUGCCAGCAGCCGCGGUAAUAC